This 253-nucleotide ribosomal RNA is filed under the name uncultured bacterium. RNAcentral's name for it is "partial 16S ribosomal RNA". It matches the Rfam family "Bacterial small subunit ribosomal RNA", at positions 524 to 776 of the family's 1533-position model. The record is from RNAcentral.
UACGAAGGGGGCUAGCGUUGCUCGGAAUCACUGGGCGUAAAGGGCGCGUAGGCGGAUCUUUAAGUCGGGGGUGAAAGCCUGUGGCUCAACCACAGAAUUGCCUUCGAUACUGGGGAUCUCGAGACCGGAAGAGGUGAGUGGAACUGCGAGUGUAGAGGUGAAAUUCGUAGAUAUUCGGCGGAACACCAGUGGCGAAGGCGACUCACUGGCCCGAUACUGACGCUGAGGCGCGAAAGCGUGGGGAGCAAACAGG